RNAcentral lists this unclassified non-coding RNA (263 nucleotides) under plant metagenome. RNAcentral's name for it is "partial contains small subunit ribosomal RNA, internal transcribed spacer 1, and 5.8S ribosomal RNA". The record is from RNAcentral.
UUUCCGUAGGUGAACCUGCGGAAGGAUCAUUAUUGUAUAACCGAGGUGCGAGGGCUGUCGCUGACCCGAAAGGUCGUGCACGCCCGAGUGCCCUCACUCACAUCCAUCUCACCCCUAUGUGCACCACCGCGUGGGUCCCCCUUUGGCUUCUCCGGAGGGGGGCUUACGUUUUCACACAAACUUUGUAUGCAGUGUAGAAUGUAUUUUUUGUUUUUGCGAUCACGCAAUCAAUACAACUUUCAACAACGGAUCUCUUGGCUCUC